CCUAGUAACUGCGAGUGAAGCGGGAAAAGCUCAAAUUUAAAAUCUGGCGGUCUUUGGCCGUCCGAGUUGUAAUCUAGAGAAGUGUUAUCCGCGCUGGACCGUGUACAAGUCUCCUGGAAUGGAGCGUCAUAGAGGGUGAGAAUCCCGUCUUUGACACGGACUGCCAGGGCUUUGUGAUGCGCUCUCAAAGAGUCGAGUUGUUUGGGAAUGCAGCUCAAAAUGGGUGGUAAAUUCCAUCUAAAGCUAAAUAUUGGCGAGAGACCGAUAGCGAACAAGUACCGUGAGGGAAAGAUGAAAAGAACUUUGGAAAGAGAGUUAAACAGUACGUGAAAUUGCUGAAAGGGAAACGCUUGAAGUCAGUCGCGUUGGCCGGGAAUCAACCUUGCUUUUGCUGGGCGUACUUUCCGGUCGACGGGUCAACAUCAAUUUUGACCGUUGGAUAAAGGCUUAGGGAAUGUGGCUUCUUCGGGAGUGUUAUAGCCCUGGGUCGCAUACAACGGUUGGGAUUGAGGAACUCAGCACGCCGCAAGGCCGGGUACUUGUACCACGUUCGUGCUUAGGAUGUUGGCAUAAUGGCUUUAAUCGACCCGUCUUGAAACACGGACCAAGGAGUCUAACAUGCCUGCGAGUGUUUGGGUGGAAAACCCGAGCGCGUAAUGAAAGUGAAAGUUGAGAUCCCUGUCGUGGGGAGCAUCGACGCCCGGACCAGAACUUUUGGGACGGAUCCGCGGUAGAGCAUGUAUGUUGGGACCCGAAAGAUGGUGAACUAUGCCUGAAUAGGGUGAAGCCAGAGGAAACUCUGGUGGAGGCUCGUAGCGAUUCUGACGUGCAAAUCGAUCGUCAAAUUUGGGUAUAG
Molecule: ribosomal RNA, 856 nt
Filed under: Psilocybe chuxiongensis
Lineage: Eukaryota; Fungi; Basidiomycota; Agaricomycetes; Agaricales; Agrocybaceae
Description: LSU rRNA
Rfam family: Eukaryotic large subunit ribosomal RNA
Source: RNAcentral